This 253-nucleotide ribosomal RNA is filed under the name uncultured bacterium. RNAcentral describes it as "partial 16S ribosomal RNA". It matches the Rfam family "Bacterial small subunit ribosomal RNA", at positions 524 to 776 of the family's 1533-position model. The record is from RNAcentral.
UACGGAAUGUGCAAACGUUAUUCGGAAUCACUGGGCUUAAAGAGUCCGUAGGCGGCAUGUUAGGUGAGGUGUGAAAUCCCCCGGCUCAACCGAGGAAUUGCGCUUCAAACCGGCGUGCUUGAGGAAGAUAGAGGUGGGCGGAACUGAUGGUGGAGCGGUGAAAUGCGCAGAUAUCGGGAGGAACAUCAGUAGCGAAGGCGGUUCUCUGGGCCGGUACUGACGCUGAGGAGCGAAAGCGUGGGUAGCGAACAGG